Alosa sapidissima (American shad) is the source of this 1138-nucleotide long non-coding RNA. RefSeq lists it as uncharacterized. Lineage: Eukaryota; Metazoa; Chordata; Actinopteri; Clupeiformes; Clupeidae. The transcript has 2 exons. The record is from RefSeq and is a predicted model, not a curated record.
GGAGCACCUGGAAAGAUCAGGGUUGGAGGAAAAGGCAGCCAAGCAUGGCACGAAGUGGACCUGGACGAUCCAUCCUGCGGACUCGCCUCAUAGAAAUGGAGCAGCUGAGGCGGCAGUGCGAACUGUAAAGAGAGCACUCCAGAACGUAGGGGGCAAUGGAGUCUUCACAUGGGGAGAAUUCCAGACGUUUGUGUAUAUGGCAGCCAAUCUGGCCAAUGAGAGGCCUGUAGAUGCGAGAGCACAAAGCCAAGAAGAUUGUGUGGAGUAUAUCACUCCAAACUCCCUCCUGCUGGGGCGGUCGAGCUUGAGAGGAGACCCAGGAGACUUCCAAUUUGAAGGUUACCCCUACAAAAGGCUGCGAGUGAUCCAGUCAGAGGUAAAUAAGUUUUGGAAGAAGUGGUGUCAAUUGGCAGGCCCGAACCUCUUCGUUAGAAGCAAAUGGCACACGAAGGAGAGGAAUGUUGCAGUAGGAGAUGUUGUGUGGCUUGCGGAUCAGAACGCCUUAAGAGGUCAGUUCAAAGUAGGCAGAGUGAUCAGUGCAUGUCCUGACGAGAAAGGAGUCGUGAGAGACGUCAAAGUCAGGACGUUUCCCAGCUAUCCAGUCAUGAUCAAGAAGCCAUCCCAUGAAGAACAUAGUAGGAGUACUCCAGCAGCAAAGAACAACAAGAUCCCUGCUACAGUCCUACACAGAGACGUCAGACGUCUUGUUGUGUUGAUUCCUGUGGAGGAGCAAUGAAGAGAAGAUCCGGCACGCUCCAGAGAAACAGGACGUGACCUCCUUGGGUUCUGGAACCAGGAGCUCAAGUGGGAGGUGUGCUGCUGUAUCGCAAGUGGAAAGGGACUUUUGUUUUGAGUGAAAAAAAAAAAAGAGACUUUUAUUUUGAAAAGGGAAGUGGAGACUUUACAGUUCUCAUGCCAGAAAGCAGGAAGUGCAGAGCUAUCUUCAAGCACAUGUAGUAAGAAGCUGUGAAGUUUAGCUGAGAAGCACAUGGUGAAUUAUUAUUGAAGAUAAAGGGUGAAGUGGGGAAAUACUUUACUUGCUGGGCAUUUCCAGGGAUGCUACUGGUUUUCAACCUGACGCAAUCUGACAUAGCCUGAUGUAAACUGAUUUAAUCUGAGUUAAACUUCUGAUUAUUUG